This 802-nucleotide ribosomal RNA is filed under the name uncultured bacterium. Its description in RNAcentral is "bacterial SSU rRNA". It matches the Rfam family "Bacterial small subunit ribosomal RNA", at positions 1 to 811 of the family's 1533-position model. The record is from RNAcentral.
GAAUUCGCCCUUAGAGUUUGAUCCUGGCUCAGGACGAACGCUGGCGGCGCGCCUAACACAUGCAAGUCGAACGGAGCUUAGAGAGCUUGCUUUUUAAGCUUAGUGGCGAACGGGUGAGUAACGCGUGAGUAACCUGCCCUAGAGUGGGAGACAACAGUUGGAAACGACUGCUAAUACCGCAUAAGCCCACGGUACCGCAUGGCACUGAGGGAAAAGGAUUUAUUCGCUUUAGGAUGGACUCGCGUCCAAUUAGCUAGUUGGUGAGGUAACGGCCCACCAAGGCGACGAUUGGUAGCCGGACUGAGAGGUUGAACGGCCACAUUGGGACUGAGACACGGCCCAGACUCCUACGGGAGGCAGCAGUGGGGGAUAUUGCACAAUGGGGGAAACCCUGAUGCAGCGACGCCGCGUGGAGGAAGAAGGUUUUCGGAUUGUAAACUCCUGUCGUUAGGGACGAUAAUGACGGUACCUAACAAGAAAGCACCGGCUAACUACGUGCCAGCAGCCGCGGUAAAACGUAGGGUGCAAGCGUUGUCCGGAAUUACUGGGUGUAAAGGGAGCGCAGGCGGGAAGACAAGUUGGAAGUGAAAUCCAUGGGCUCAACCCAUGAACUGCUUUCAAAACUGUUUUUCUUGAGUAGUGCAGAGGUAGGCGGAAUUCCCGGUGUAGCGGUGGAAUGCGUAGAUAUCGGGAGGAACACCAGUGGCGAAGGCGGCCUACUGGGCACCAACUGACGCUGAGGCUCGAAAGUGUGGGUAGCAAACAGGAUUAGAUACCCUGGUAGUCCACACUGUAAACGAUG